GUCCACGCCGUAAACGAUGGAUACUAGCUGUUGGGCGCAAGUUCAGUGGCUAAGCGAAAGUGAUAAGUAUCCCACCUGGGGAGUACGUUCGCAAGAAUGAAACUCAAAGGAAUUGACGGGGCCAGCACAAGCGGUGGAGCAUGUGGUUUAAUUCGAUGAUACGCGAGGAACCUUACCAAGGCUUAAAUGUAGAUUGACCGAUUUGGAAACAGAUCUUUCGCAAGACAAUUUACAAGGUGCUGCAUGGUUGUCGU
Molecule: ribosomal RNA, 254 nt
Filed under: uncultured bacterium
Lineage: Bacteria
Description: partial 16S ribosomal RNA
Rfam family: Bacterial small subunit ribosomal RNA
Source: RNAcentral